Molecule: ribosomal RNA, 253 nt
Filed under: uncultured bacterium
Lineage: Bacteria
Description: partial 16S ribosomal RNA
Rfam family: Bacterial small subunit ribosomal RNA
Source: RNAcentral
UACAGAGGGUGCGAGCGGUAAUCGGAAUUACUGGGCGUAAAGCGCGCGUAGGCGGCUUUGCAAGUCGGAUGUGAAAUCCCCAGGCUUAACCUGGGAACUGCAUUCGAGACUGCAUUGCUAGAGUAUGGGAGAGGGAAGUGGAAUUUCCGGUGUAGCGGUGAAAUGCGUAGAUAUCGGAAGGAACAUCAGUGGCGAAAGCGACUUCCUGGACCAAUACUGACGCUCAUGUGCGAAAGCGUGGGGAGCAAACAGG